UGGGGAAUAUUGCACAAUGGGCGGAAGCCUGAUGCAGCAACGCCGCGUGAGUGAUGAAGGCCUUCGGGUUGUAAAGCACUUUUGUCCGGAAAGAAAUCCUUGGCUCUAAUACAGUCGGGGGAUGACGGUACCGGAAGAAUAAGCACCGGCUAACUACGUGCCAGCAGCCGCGGUAAUACGUAGGGUGCAAGCGUUAAUCGGAAUUACUGGGCGUAAAGCGUGCGCAGGCGGUUUGCUAAGACCGAUGUGAAAUCCCCGGGCUCAACCUGGGAACUGCAUUGGUGACUGGCAGGCUAGAGUAUGGCAGAGGGGGGUAGAAUUCCACGUGUAGCAGUGAAAUGCGUAGAGAUGUGGAGGAAUACCGAUGGCGAAGGCAGCCCCCUGGGCCAAUACUGACGCUCAUGCACGAAAGCGUGGGGAGCAAACAGGAUUAGAUACCCUGGUAGUCCACGCCCUAAACGAUGUCAACUAGUUGUUGGGGAUUCAUUUCCUUAGUAACGUAGCUAACGCGUGAAGUUGACCGCCUGGGGAGUACGGUCGCAAGAUUAAAA
RNAcentral lists this ribosomal RNA (551 nucleotides) under uncultured bacterium. RNAcentral's name for it is "partial 16S ribosomal RNA". It matches the Rfam family "Bacterial small subunit ribosomal RNA", at positions 355 to 899 of the family's 1533-position model. The record is from RNAcentral.